ACUCAGGAAACAAAAGGAAUGAGAAGAUCAUUUCAAACAAAAGUAACAUCAUAGCAAUGUAGCUUAGGGUUUGAUGACAAGCAACGUACAAAGAGCUUUGGGUUUUGGAGGGAGUUUCUUGGAGGUUUGCAGAGCAUUUAUAUGUUGUACAAAAGGUCGGUCAGUGCCGGAUAUAUCCACGAUUGAUUGAUUAACAACUCCUCCAAUCAUCAAAGCUAAACGUCGUCAUCAUCAUCCUCAGACGAGUCGUCAUCAUCAUCCUCUUCAUCGUUCUCUAUCAUAUAGUUUGACCAACUUAUGUAUCUAACAACAUAUAAAAAUCGAAGGUGGACCUACUUAUUUUUCAAUUGAAUGUAAUUGACUACCUAAUUGAGUGCCACAUAUGCAUUGGGGCCUAUUUUAAUUAAUACAAAAUUGAGGUUACAUCUUUUCAAAUGUUUCUCAAUUAAUAUAUAGGGGAUAAGCUGUGAUUUUAUUAGUUAUAUAGAUAUGCGUCUUAAUUACUACUACGCAUUAUAAAUAUUUUUUUCGUUUGUAAAAUUAAAAGGACAGUUAUCCUAAAUAGACUAUUUUCAAGUUUUCGUUACAAAAUAGAUCUUAAAGAGGAAAAUAACCAAAAUAUUUCGUUUUAUAGGUAAAAAACCCUAGUAUCCUAGAUAUAUAAAUAUACAUAAAAAAAUAAAAAAUGAAAAAAUAUAAUUUUUUGUUUUAUAGUUUCAGAUUAUAUGUUUUCAAAUUCGAACUUUUUCUAAAUUUUUUGUUGAAUUUUUUUUUGAAUUUUUUUUAAAUUUUGUUUUCAAAUUUUCUUUUUGUAAUUCGAAAACUUUUUGAAACUAUUUUUCAAAUUUUUAUUUUCAAAUUUUUAAUAUUUAAUCUUACCUCUUUAAUGAAACAUUUUGGUCAUUUUGAUCUUUAUAAUCUAUAUUUGUGACAAAAAAAAGAAUUUAGUGCUGUCGUAGGGUAUUUCUCAAAUUAAAAUUCCCCCACUAAUUAUUUAUAAAAGCUUUCAAUGAAUGUAUGAUAUUUAUAUUUAUUGUUCAUAUAUGUACUUAAAAUACUCUUAUUUAAUUCUCUUUUUUUUUUGAGCAACCCCUCUUAUUUAAUUCUCUUAAAUGUAUAUUUGAUAGUAUAGCAUCCAAAAUUUUUAAUCAUAAUAAAUCAAAAUGAAAUUUAAAUAACAUUAAAAAUAGUUUGUUUGCUAUAAGAAAAAAGAAAGAUAUAAAAGGAAUGAGAAGAUCAUUUCAAACAAAAGUAACAUCAUAGCAAUGUAGCUUAGGGUUUGAUGACAAGCAACGUACAAAGAGCUUUGGGUUUUGGAGGGAGUUUCUUGGAGGUUUGCAGAGCAUUUAUAUGUUGUACAAAAGGUCGGUCAGUGCCGGAUAUAUCCACGAUUGAUUGAUUAACAACUCCUCCAAUCAUCAAAGCUAAACGUCGUCAUCAUCAUCCUCAGACGAGUCGUCAUCAUCAUCCUCUUCAUCGUUCUCGACUU
This 1489-nucleotide long non-coding RNA is filed under the name Brassica napus (rape). Its description in RNAcentral is "long non-coding RNA (BNAP_LNC013353)". The record is from RNAcentral. Lineage: Eukaryota; Viridiplantae; Streptophyta; Magnoliopsida; Brassicales; Brassicaceae.